Molecule: transfer RNA, 85 nt
Filed under: Felis catus (domestic cat)
Lineage: Eukaryota; Metazoa; Chordata; Mammalia; Carnivora; Felidae
Rfam family: tRNA
About the family: Transfer RNA (tRNA) molecules are approximately 80 nucleotides in length.
Source: Rfam by way of RNAcentral
GCCUGGGUGGCUCAGUCGGUUAAGCGUCUGACUUCAGCUCAGGUCAUGAUCUCGCCGUUCGUGGGUUCGAGCCCCACAUCAGGCU